Molecule: ribosomal RNA, 465 nt
Filed under: Vreelandella stevensii
Lineage: Bacteria; Pseudomonadati; Pseudomonadota; Gammaproteobacteria; Oceanospirillales; Halomonadaceae
Description: partial 16S ribosomal RNA
Rfam family: Bacterial small subunit ribosomal RNA
Source: RNAcentral
CCUACGGGAGGCAGCAGUGGGGAAUAUUGGACAAUGGGGGCAACCCUGAUCCAGCCAUGCCGCGUGUGUGAAGAAGGCCCUCGGGUUGUAAAGCACUUUCAGUGAGGAAGAACGCCUGGUGGUUAAUACCCAUCAGGAAAGACAUCACUCACAGAAGAAGCACCGGCUAACUCCGUGCCAGCAGCCGCGGUAAUACGGAGGGUGCGAGCGUUAAUCGGAAUUACUGGGCGUAAAGCGCGCGUAGGUGGCUUGAUAAGCCGGGUGUGAAAGCCCCGGGCUCAACCUGGGAACGGCAUCCGGAACUGUCAAGCUAGAGUGCAGGAGAGGAAGGUAGAAUUCCCGGUGUAGCGGUGAAAUGCGUAGAGAUCGGGAGGAAUACCAGUGGCGAAGGCGGCCUUCUGGACUGACACUGACACUGAGGUGCGAAAGCGUGGGUAGCAAACAGGAUUAGAUACCCGUGUAGUC